Molecule: non-coding RNA, 2008 nt
Organism: Oryctolagus cuniculus (rabbit)
Lineage: Eukaryota; Metazoa; Chordata; Mammalia; Lagomorpha; Leporidae
Source: RefSeq, a predicted model, not a curated record
AAAAAACGCCGGCGAUGGAGUGGGCGGAGCGGGCGAUUUGAACCGGAGGUGCCGCAGCCUACGCCGGAGUACCGACUCCUAGAGCCACACGGGCGGCUCGGGCGGUUGUCCGGUUCCCUGCGGGCGCCAGCCUUCCCCCCCGGGGCCGGGAGGUCCGAGCAGAAGCCUCGGGGCCGGAGGCGGCCCGCCAUGGGCCCGCGCCGCCGGAGCCGCAAGCCGGAGGUCCCGAGGAGGCGCAGCCCGAGCCCGACCCGCAGCCCCCGCCGGCGGAGCGUCUCCUUAGGCGCGGCCUCGCAGCACAGACGGCGGCGGCACGCGUGGCUGAAGGAGAUGCGCAAGCUACAGAAGAGCACGGACCUGCUGCUGAGGAAGCUGCCGUUCGCCCGCGUGGUGAGCUCAGGGCGCCCCGGCCCGGCGUGGCCCCUGUCCCUCACCUUCUCCCCCUGCGGGGGCCCUUGGUCUGGACCCACACCACCUUCGCUUCUCCACAGCUCCCCCACACCUUUGAAGCUGUCUUACUCUUUGUAACAGUUGUGUGUAUGGGCACUGUGAGAGCUCGGGUCCACGCCUGUGUGUUAGGGUGGAGUCAGGGUUCCAUCUCCUGGGGCAGGUCUCGCUUCUUUGUGUUGGGAACCUCGGGUCUUAGCGUCUGAAACUGUCUUUGAGUAUGGAAAACGGAGCGCUGUCACCCAUCCCUCGUGCUUUGGUCCCUUUUGCUGCCCUGGGGGAGUGCAGCAGGCCGACUCCUGUGCCCCAGAGGCAGCCCUGCUCCGCCCCAGGCACGUCCUGAGGUUGAGGGCCAGGAAGGACCAGUGGAUUCCCUGGAGACUCUUGGAGAGAGCCCAGCUCUCCGAGCCUCUCGUCUGUUACUGCCUACUCCCCCAUCCCCACUCCUCCACAGGCCAGAGAAAUCAGCACCAGAUUCACUCGGGGUGUGGACUUCAGCUGGCAAGCCCAGGCCCUGUUGGCCCUCCAGGAGGAUGUGCAGCUGGCCAGGAGGAUCCGAGGCAUCCAGGAGGGGCUUGGCUGAGCACCGGGCCGGAGUCUCCGCCAGCCUUCCUGUGCCCGGGCGCGGCACCCCGCUCUCAGCGCCGGGAGGGCUGUCCUUGGAGGAGCUGCCUUCUCUGUGCCCAGCCCCUUGUCAUCUCAGCGUUCCUGGUGCUCACGAGACUGCCUGGGGGUGUGUGGGUCACACCUUCCCGUGCAGCGUUGAAUAAAGAUACUUUGCUACCACGUGACGAGCCAACGGCCACACCUGUAGCAGCGCUAAGCCUCUCCGUUUCACAAGGACCCGUGGCUUCGUUUUGAUGAAGAGAGAUUUUUUUGCUUCUGAAAAUGCCUUGUUAGGAAAAGCGAUUCCUGCGUGUCAGGGAUGAUGGCUGGGACGGCUUUGGUGCCCAUGCGUAGUAGACCCGGGCAUAUCGGAGGGCCGCCUGGGCCGUGCUGUUGCAGAGCUGGGGUCCGGCUGGGGUCGGUUCUUUCCAGGAGAGGGUGGCCUGGCUGGCUGUGUAGUGGGCAUCGGCACGGCUCCCGGCGCCUGGACGUCGUGUCGGCAGAGGUUCCAGGGCCUUCAGCUCGUGACCCGCACAUCCGACCGAUGAAGCUCCUGAAGACCUCAGCUGCGCACGGGCAGGAGGGGAUCCUGGCUCGUUCCUGUGCCGUGCGUUUUUCACCCCGUGUGUGUUUAAUCCGCUGCUGAGAACGUGAGAGGAAGCCCGAGAAGCGCCUGAAUCAGCUGCGUGGGAAAGCCCAGCCUUCCCGGCCCGCAAGCCUGCGCCCCUCAGACGGGGCUGAACAUUGGUGUUCUGGUUCCUUCCAGUCCUUCCCAUCAAAAUCGCUCGGAAGUUCUGACUUCCAGGAUUCAGCAUUUUCUUAUUAUUUGUAAACCACAGAAGUUGAAUCUUAUCAAUCCAUGAUUUUAAAGUGCUUUUCCAGUGUUUUUAUGGGUGUUUUUUAAGCUUACAGCUUCUUUGCAGAGAGAUAAUAAAAAUAAUUCUGUAAUGAAAAA